Molecule: long non-coding RNA, 190 nt
Filed under: Fukomys damarensis (Damara mole-rat)
Lineage: Eukaryota; Metazoa; Chordata; Mammalia; Rodentia; Bathyergidae
Description: lncRNA (ENSFDAG00000026266.1)
Source: RNAcentral
GAAUGGGGGAAAAAACCCCACAGGACAAGAUGCUAACCUCAUUAUUAAAAUGUUAAAGAUGAGCCCACUAUUUAAAAUGUUAAAGCUGUUUCCUUUUAAAUGUCCUAAUUUUUAAAGAAUGUCCCUACAUAAAAAGAAGAGUACCUCACAAGUGAAAGUUGCAGUAAUCACAAGAGAAAGCCCAGCCCGG